AACUAAUUAAUUUUAUUAAAAUUAUAAGAAUUUAUAAAAGAUAAUGAAGAACACUUUGGGGCCUCAUUAAAACCUUGUUUGGGGAAAACCCAAUGGGACAAAACCCCAAACGAAGGAAAAAGAGUACCCCGGAUUGUAAACAUUGCAUUAAAAAAUGAAAACUACAUAUUUGAGUCUACAUGCUUCCUCCCGAAUCUCCAUAAACAUUUCUUGAUUUGAUCAAUCUUUUUUUCAUCCUCCACAAUUAAUCGAACCAAAGAAUCAUCACAUGUACCUACAAAAAAAAAUAGCAAUGAAUUCUGAACUACAAAACAUCAUUUAAAAUGUCUUCUUGUUGCACUUUUAGAUUCAAAAUCAUCAAUUAUACUAUCAUAUUUAAUGUUUUCUAACAUAUCAUUUUCAAUGCAUAAUAUUGCUAAUCCAUUUAGCCUAUCUUGAGUCAUGGUGGUCCGCAAGUAAGAUUUCAAUAAUUUUAAUUUAGAAAAACUUCUUUCAGCAGAUGCCACAGUCACAGGUAUAGUCAAUAAUACCCUAUAAGCAACCAUUACAUUAGGAAACAUAUCCACACUCUUUACAAACUCAAGAAUUUUAAUGGAUGUCCAUGGUUUAUCUGUUUCAUAUGCUUCUUUUGGUAACAUCACUUGCAACACCUGUAAUUCUGAAAAUAAGUCUCUUGCAUCAACAUCAGAGACAUCACCAUGUUUUAAAGCAUUUUCAAGAUUCACAUAAGAACUUUUCAAUUCAUUAUCAUCAAACGAAGUCAACUUUGCAGCAUCAAAUAAGAACCCAAAAAUUGAUUCAAAACAAUGCAAUUGUUCAAACCUACUCUUCAAUUCACAAAGAGCAAUAUCCACUAUAACAAGAAAAUAAUCAGUUCUAAUUGAUUCUUUAGCUGAUUGUUGUUCCCUAUCAUUAUUGGAAACCUCAUCAAAAUGCCUUUUUCUACAAAUUUGACGCUUUUUUGGAAAUACAGGCUCAAUUCCCAUAUCAAGGGAAAUUUCUUUAGCAUCAAUGAUGGCAGAAACAAACCCAUUUAUUCUAUAGUUUUCAAAAAAUAAAACAAGUCCUAAUUGUCGUACAACAGCAUCAAGACACGUGUCUUCAGAUUGUAACUUUUUACUAACUAAGUUAAUCUUAUGCAAAAUGUCAUGCCAAAUAACCAAACUUAAUAUAAAUUCAAAACUUGAAAGCUCUCCUAAUGCUAAACUUUGAGCAUCCCUACUCAAUUUGACAUCUUCACUAAUUUCUGUUAAUUUAAAUAAAGCUUCUCUAAUUUGGGAAUCUUGAUAUUUUAUUGCUUUGACACUUUCAAUGUGACUUUCCCAACGUGUAGUUGACAAUGAUUUCAAAUUCAAACCAUCUAUGUAAUCAAGUAACACAUUCCAUCGCUUUGUUGAAUUAGAGAAUACCGUAUAUAUGCAUUGACAUGCUCCAAAUAAAGAUUUUGCUUUAACGCAUGACUUGGCCAUAUUACAAACUAUUAAGUUGAGACAAUGAGAACCACAUGGCAUGUAAAAUGCUCUAGGAUUUCUAUCAAGUAAAAAAGAUUUCUUGAUAUAAAUCCUAGAUUAAGUGUACUUUUUUGUACACCUAGAUUUUUCCCUUUCAUAUUAGAGCCGUUAUCAUAACCUUGUCCCCUCACAUCAUCAAUAUUAAGUGUAAGGGACUCCAUUACAUUUUGCAAUUCAUUAAAAAUUCCUAAUCCAGAUGUAUCUUCCACAUUCAGAAACUUUAAAAAGUACUCUUCUAUAUUUAUUGGAGUACUUGAAAAAUCUACACACCUCAAUAUUAAAGUCAUUUGUUCUUUGUGACUUGCAUCAGGAGUACAAUCAAGAAUGACUGAAAAAUAUUUAGCUGUUUUUAUUUUUUGAGUAAAGUUCAGAUCACCACAUGGGGUUUGGGGUCUUUCCUACUUAACCACUUGUAGUCAUUAAAGCUACAUUUAAACUCCCGACUUUUUGAGUUGAAGUGAAUAAAUGCUUUCCGUCUUAACUCCGUUACUUGAGUUGGCUAAAGACUUAAUUACCCUCCAUAUAUAUAUAUAUAUUGAAAGCUUCCAUCUUCCUUCUCAUCAUCCCCAGUCCCAGUUUCUUCAAUUUCUCUGUCCAACUUCUCAGCAUCAACUGAAUCACUCCCAUCAUAAUAUCCGAAAUACUCACUCAUCAUUCUCUCUCUAUUACAAAGACUUUCUCUCUCCAAAAUCAUAGUGAUAUUAUUAUCAUCCAAAUAUAUACAUCCAAAGGUUUGCUAAUAAAUCAAAAACAAAAAACAAGAGCUCAUAUAAAUUCCCAAAAGGCAAAUGGGGAUAUCAAAAUCACCCCCUUAACAUCAUCAAUGUCUACAUUAUAAAAUCAUGUCUAAAGCUUACAAAUAUCUAAAGCUUACAAUGAGAACAAAGAUGAAAAAUAUCUACAUUAUAAAUAGGCACAGUUAUGUGGGUAUAGAAGAAAUCAAGUAAGUUUAUUAAAGUACAAAUUGAUCAAACAAUUGAAGUUAUAUAAUAAAAAUAUGGAGCUCAAUAAAGGAGAUAGAAAGAGAGGGAAAAAUGAUGGUAUCUGUAACCAUAUAAGGUGCAGCCAGAAAAGGGCUUCAGUUCCAAACAUCUAAAAGCAAUUAAGCUUAAAAGACCAUUGUAGCAGAAAAUAAGAGAUAGCAAUACUAAACAACCAAAAAGCAACAUCAAAAUUUUGCUUUCUUCCCAAUAGCAGCGGGAGCCAAACAGCAGCUUAUGAUAAAUUCACUGCUGAUUUAUUUUCUAGGCAGCCCUUUUUCUUUCUUCAGUAUUUGAGAGAAAAGAUGUGGGUGGAAAUUGAAGAAAAGGGAUCAAGAUUAUCAAAGCAACAACACCAACCACAAAAUCAAGAAAAACAACCAAAUAAAGAAAAACAAGAUAAAGAAUCUCAUCAAAAUGACCCACAACAGCCCAAAUUAGCUAGAUCAAAUUCUAUUCUUGAGCAUCUCAAAUUUAUCACUCUCUAUAACUUCAGAUCCCAAGAAUCAAAACCCACUACGGAGACCCAAUUCGUUUUUGGCCAUUUUCAUGAAGAAAUUAACCCCACAAAAUCUCAGACCCAUUUUGUUGUUGAACAAAUUCAUGAAGAAAAAGCCUCCGAAUCACAGACCCAAUUCGAUUUUGAGCAAACCCAUGAAGCAAAAAUCAUAAAUACACAGACCCAUGAAGCUAAUGAAGAAAUUAGUGAAGAAGAUGAAGAGCCACAAAGCCUAUAUGAAGCUAAUGAAGAAAUUAGUGAAGAAGAUGAAGAGCCACAAAGCCUAGAUGAAGCUAAUGAAGAAAUUAGUGAAGAAGAAGAAGAUGAAGAGGCACGUAACCGAGGAUGAUGAAGGUGUUGAUGCAAAAGCUGAUGAUUUCAUCAACAAAUUAGAACCAGUUGAAGUUACAGAGGAUGUUAAGUUGUGAUUUAUUUAUUUUAAAAGCCAAGAGGAAGAAGGGGUAUUUCAGACAUUUACCAAAUUUUUUUGACCGAUACAGUCCCUUUUCACGCGCUUUUGGCGUCUGACAUACUCGCACGGUUAAAUUGGAUGGAAAAGGUGACGUUUUCACUUCAACUCAAAAAAUCAGGAGUUUAAAUGUAGCUUUACUGACUACAUGUGGUUAAGUGGGAAAGAUCUCAAACCCCAAGUGGUGAUCUGAAUUUUACCCUUAUUUUUUCAAUGAUUGAAUGUUUAACAUUUGAUGCUAAAAUAGUUAUCAACUCAUUUUGAAUUUUAUGGCUAAGAUAAUGAUAAUGAAAUCUUUAAUGAGUCGAAAAUGGUGUUGUAUUACUGGAUCAAACUCUGCAAUCAUUUCAAGUAGGCCUAAAAAGUUACCAUUACCAUCUUCAUAAAUUUUUUCAUUUGUUCCACGAAAAGACAAAUUAUGUAUAGCAAGACAUUUCACAACAGCGAUGAUUCUGACAAUAACAUUUUUCCAGUGUAGUGUAUCUUUCUUGAUUAGCUCUUGUAAUUCUAUAUCAAUUGUUUGAUUUGUUUUCAAUCUGAUUUGCAUUUCAACACAAGACCUCAAGUUAGUGAGGUGUUCAAUACUGCUUUCAUGUUGUUUAAGCUUCUCACUAAGAUGUUUCCAAUCUCUAGUUCCUUCACUAGUUAACUGACUUCUAGAAUUCAUUGUUUUAAACAACUUACAACAGAAACAAAACACUUUAUCCAACUCCUUUGAGUACACUAGCCAUUUUCGAUCCUUAGUUUCCCCAUUUGGUAACGUGCGAAGAUAAUAAUUUAAAGAAAAACGUCUAUUGUGUUCGUCCAUGGGGAAUUUGAGAUUAGUUUCUCUUAGGGGACCUUUCUACAAGUAAAUCUCUCAUUUUUGCAUCAAGAUUAUCCCAAACUCGUGGAUCAUAAAUGUUCAAAUCAAAUCUUGUUUCGGGACAUUCAUUUUCAUGGCAAGGUUCAUCAAUAUUUUCAUUUUCAUCAAGGUAAAGUUCAUCACUAUUUUCAUUUUCAUCUAGAUUACCAAUUUCUUCAUUCACAUCAUUCUCAUUUUCUACUAAUUCUUCCAAUUGAAUUGGUUGUUCAUAUUCAUUUGGUAAAUCUUCAUCUAAAUUUUCAAGUGAAGUAUUGGUUUGUUUAACAAAAUAUUUAUUCAAAGAUCCUCUUAAACUUUGAGCAAUUUCUUCUUUUUUUUUCUUUCUUUGUCUCUUGAGAUUUCCGGAAAGUUGUUUCUUACGAAGCAUUUUUUAAUUUUUAUAAUAAACACAACACAAUAAAAAAUAAUAAAACUAAUUAACAAAGAACAAUAAAACCUGGAUUUUGAGUAUAUUUUCUUCCACUUGAAACUUCCAAUUAUAAAGAACAAGAAUCCCAGCCAAGUUUUCUGUUGAAUCAAAUAAUAAAUAAGAAAAAGUUAACACAUAUAUGUUAUACGCAUUACAAUUUACAAAAUAGGAGAAAAUAAACAAAAAUAAAAACCAAUGGAAACCCUAACUGUUUCAAUUCUUUCAUUACCACAAACAUUUCUUAUUUUCAAUUUGCUUAAUUCCUUAUACUACUAACAGUUUUCACUCGAAUCUCAAAAGUCACAGUCCCUUUUGUCAAGAAAAAUGAAAAUUAAGAAUUUAAAGAAAAGAAGAUUGAAGAUUGAAGAUAGUUGACCCAUAAAUCAGAUAAAUCAAACCAACAAAUCAUAGUUGUAGUAAGAACUUAUUCUACAUAUAAAACAAAACUGAUAGGCUGAUAGCAAAAGAUUUAUGAUAAAAGAGAUCUAGCCAAAACAUAUCAAUCUGAUACAUAUACCUUUAUUUCAAAAAACAAAAAACAGAAAAAUUGAUCAUUUCAUCAAUCAAAGAGAUCUAACAAGUAACAAAUCAAACAAUAAGACAAGGGUACUUAUGGUUUGACUUACAAAUAUAUUUACAGAUCCACUGGAACAAUCAGUUUUCUGAUCAAAGAAGCCAAACCAUUACGCUAGAAAGUGCAAAGAUUACAAAACGACAACUAGGGAAACAACAAAUUAUUUACAAAAUCGUGACACUGGCCAAAUCUUCUAACAUGGUGAUAUGGUAUUCACAAUUAUAUAACAAUAUUUGACAUAUUUAAUGACACACUAUGACAAUCAACUUUCUGAUCGUAAAAGCCAAUCAAUUAUAUCAGAAAGUGCAAAGAUUCCAAAAAAACAAGUAGGGAGUCAACAAAUUGAUUGCAAAAUCGUGAGAUUGGACAAAUCUCUUUAUAUUAGUCGUUUCAAAAAUCCCAAAAAAGAUCGUUAUUGACCAUAAACCCCCAGUGAUCAACAAACACCAAGCCCAACAAUCUCUCAAAUAGAACCAAAGAAAAUUCAUAUCACCAACAUUAACCCCAUCAAAUAGAACCAAAGAAAAUUCAUAUCACCAACAUUAACCCCAUCAAAUAGAACCAAAGAAAAUUCAUUUCCCCAAAAUUAACAAUGUCAAUUUACAGAUACAAUAUAACCAUUUCAGUCUGGAACUCGACAGAAUCCAGAGAUUUUCAUUUUUCAUAGGCCGAAGAGCCAAGAACAAACUAACAUAUGGAAGAAAAACCAUCAGCCAGUAAAGGAAAUAGAAUCCCCCUUGCCCCUUCAAUCACAAAGGAAUGCAUACAUAUUCUAUAGACAUCAAUCAAAGAGAUCUAACAAGUAACAAAUCAAACAAUAAAGCAACAGAUAAAUCAAUAAUCACACAGAUAUGGUGAUAUGGUGAUAUGGUGAUAUGGUGAUAAUCUUAAUUAACGAAUAGUCAAGUCAUACAGAAAGAUGAUUAAUAUUAAGUUGCAGAAACAGAGUUGAAAGAUCACAGUAAUAUAGAGAACAAAAGCGAAAAGAAGAUAUUGGCUUGCCUUGAGAAGAUUAUAUUUUCUUCUUUUUGUAUUUUGCCUUUUGGAAGUGCUUUGUUUUUGUUUGUCGUUUGAUCGCUCUUGGCUUGUAGAAACAAAAGUGAGGACUGCAGAGUUCAUUAGUUCAACGAAGCAGCAAAUUAAAAAGUGAGGACUGAUUGAGCAGAAGUCUAGAAGUCAGAAUAUUAAAAAUUUUUGGGGCCCCCUUUAGCUUUGGGCCCAGGGCAGUAGCCCCGGUAGCCCUGGGCCAAGGCCGGCUCUGAGUAGGAGGAACCAACAAUCAUGGACGGGCGGCACACGACCAAUCCCCAUCGGAUAUAUUUAAAAGUGUAGAUGGGUUAAUAUGCAUGACAAUAUGCUUAUUGGGCCAGUUUAUAUAUGUGUGCGCUGCAUUGAUGUGUGAUGGAUCGUACAAUUUUGCUACAAGCAAUCGCUGAACAGAUUAAACAGAUUCUGACAGAGCAAGGAGCGAUAAGAAAGGGGCCGAUCUCCCCAAAGAAACAGGUCAACUCCCUAUAAGCAAGUGGAAGUCAUUCCCGAAAGCCGUAGAAAGAGGCCCAGAGAUGAAUUUCCUUGAUCCCGAUUGGGUUCGAAAUUUGCUGCC
RNAcentral lists this long non-coding RNA (6910 nucleotides) under Panax ginseng (ginseng). RNAcentral describes it as "long non-coding RNA (PGIN_LNC009843)". The record is from RNAcentral. Lineage: Eukaryota; Viridiplantae; Streptophyta; Magnoliopsida; Apiales; Araliaceae.